RNAcentral lists this long non-coding RNA (431 nucleotides) under Hordeum vulgare. RNAcentral's name for it is "long non-coding RNA (HVUL_LNC003244)". Lineage: Eukaryota; Viridiplantae; Streptophyta; Magnoliopsida; Poales; Poaceae. The record is from RNAcentral.
CAUAAUAGUUAUGCAUAAAACAUUUUUAGAGCUCCUUUGAUUCAAGGGAAUUUAUAGAAAUUUUAGAGGAUUUAUGUCCUUGGGGAUCUUUCCUGCGUUGGCAGGUUGAUUCACAUGAUUACAAUUCUUUGGAAUUUUCCUUUGGAUUCAUUUCCAUUCUAUUUUGGAGAAAAAAAAAUCAUUCGCUCAAUCCUUCAUUAAGAAAUGUCAGCGGUUUCCUAUGUGGAUGUGCUAAAGCACAUCUACAUGUGACUUAAUUACCGGUCGUUGAUUUUACUCGAAGAUUCAUAUACAUAUUUGACGAUUUUUAAGUUUGAUUUUUUUAGAGAACGUCGACAUUUAUUGAUCAAGCAACAAAGUUAUAAAUAGUCUCCCGGAUACAAUCCGGAAGAGAAUGAAAGAAAUAAAGACUAAACGUGGUCAAACCUGAU